RNAcentral lists this transfer RNA (87 nucleotides) under Nitrososphaerota archaeon. RNAcentral's name for it is "tRNA-Arg". It matches the Rfam family "tRNA". From Rfam's summary of the family: Transfer RNA (tRNA) molecules are approximately 80 nucleotides in length. Their secondary structure includes four short double-helical elements and three loops (D, anti-codon, and T loops). Further hydrogen bonds mediate the characteristic L-shaped molecular structure. tRNAs have two regions of fundamental functional importance: the anti-codon, which is responsible for specific mRNA codon recognition, and the 3' end, to which the tRNAs corresponding amino acid is attached (by aminoacyl-tRNA synthetases). tRNAs cope with the degeneracy of the genetic code in two manners: having more than one tRNA (with a specific anti-codon) for a particular amino acid; and 'wobble' base-pairing, i.e. permitting non-standard base-pairing at the 3rd anti-codon position. The record is from RNAcentral. Lineage: Archaea; Thermoproteati; Nitrososphaerota.
GCCCAGGUAGUAUAGCUCGGUUACUUCUGCCGAUGAGUAUGUGAGACUGCGUCUCUCGCGACCCGGGUUCAAAUCCCGGCCUGGGCG